ACUUUAAAAUUAACGGUGGUUUCUUCUAUAUGUGCAGAUCAUAGAUGGUUUGAAGAAUGAUGAGGAAGACUCAGACUGUUUAAGGAAUUUCAUCUCUAAACAAUGGGAAGGGAUAACCAGAGACAUAUUCAAUUGCUUUAACAAAGAGAAUCGUCGAUAUGGUGCAGGUGUCGUUUUAGUGUCUUUGCAAGUGAGGAUCAGUUGAGGAGUUUGUUUGAUUCCAUGGUGUUUCUUCUGCUCUCAUCUGAUAUGACGACCAA
This is a non-coding RNA of Camelina sativa (false flax), 260 nucleotides long. The record is from RefSeq and is a predicted model, not a curated record. NCBI's taxonomy places the organism in Eukaryota, Viridiplantae, Streptophyta, Magnoliopsida, Brassicales, Brassicaceae.